This 253-nucleotide ribosomal RNA is filed under the name uncultured bacterium. Its description in RNAcentral is "partial 16S ribosomal RNA". It matches the Rfam family "Bacterial small subunit ribosomal RNA", at positions 524 to 776 of the family's 1533-position model. The record is from RNAcentral.
UACGUAGGGGGCAAGCGUUGUCCGGAAUCAUUGGGCGUAAAGAGCGCGUAGGCGGUCCGGUAAGUCCGCUCUGAAAGUCCGGGGCUCAACCCCGGGAGGCGGGCGGAUACUGUCGGGCUAGAGUCCGGAAGAGGCGAGUGGAAUUCCUGGUGUAGCGGUGGAAUGCGCAGAUAUCAGGAAGAACACCCGUGGCGAAGGCGGCUCUCUGGAACGCAACUGACGCUGAGACGCGAAAGCGUGGGGAGCAAACAGG